UUGAACAAGAUACUAUGCCUCCA
This 23-nucleotide non-coding RNA is filed under the name Cricetulus griseus (Chinese hamster). Lineage: Eukaryota; Metazoa; Chordata; Mammalia; Rodentia; Cricetidae. The record is from RNAcentral.